CCUACGGGAGGCAGCAGUGGGGAAUAUUGCACAAUGGGGGAAACCCUGAUGCAGCGACGCCGCGUGAGUGAAGAAGUAUUUCGGUAUGUAAAGCUCUAUCAGCAGGAACGAGACAAGACGGUACCUGACUAAGAAGCCCCGGCUAACUACGUGCCAGCAGCCGCGGUAAUACGUAGGGGGCAAGCGUUAUCCGGAAUCACUGGGUGGAAAGGGAGCGUAGACGGCUGAGCAAGCCUGAAGUGAAAGGCGGGGGCCCAACCCCUGGACUGCUUUGGGAACUGUACGGCUGGAGUGCAGGAGAGGUAAGUGGAAUUCCUAGUGUAGCGGUGAAAUGCGUAGAUAUUAGGAGGAACACCAGUGGCGAAGGCGGCUUACUGGACUGUAACUGACGUUGAGGCUCGAAAGCGUGGGGAGCAAACAGGAUUAGAUACCCCAGUAGUC
RNAcentral lists this ribosomal RNA (441 nucleotides) under uncultured bacterium. RNAcentral's name for it is "partial 16S ribosomal RNA". It matches the Rfam family "Bacterial small subunit ribosomal RNA", at positions 338 to 795 of the family's 1533-position model. The record is from RNAcentral.